GGUGGUAGGCUGAAAUCUUAGGUAAAUCCGGGGUUUCAAGGCCGAGAGCUGAUGACGAGUCGUCUUUUAGAUGACGAAGUGGUUGAUGCCAUGCUUCCAAGAAAAGCUUCUAAGCUUCAGGUAACCAGGAACCGUACCCCAAACCGACACAGGUGGUCGGGUAGAGAAUACCAAGGCGCUUGAGAGAACUCGGGUGAAGGAACUAGGCAAAAUGGCACCGUAACUUCGGGAGAAGGUGCGCCGGCUAGGGUGAAGGAUUUACUCCGUAAGCUCUGGCUGGUCGAAGAUACCAGGCCGCUGCGACUGUUUAUUAAAAACACAGCACUCUGCAAACACGAAAGUGGACGUAUAGGGUGUGACGCCUGCCCGGUGCCGGAAGGUUAAUUGAUGGGGUUAGCGCAAGCGAAGCUCUUGAUCGAAGCCCCGGUAAACGGCGGCCGUAACAAUAACGGUCCUAAGGUAGCGAAAUUCCUUGUCGGGUAAGUUCCGACCUGCACGAAUGGCGUAACGAUGGCGGCGCUGUCUCCACCCGAGACUCAGUGAAAUUGAAAUCGCUGUGAAGAUGCAGUGUAUCCGCGGCUAGACGGAAAGACCCCGUGAACCUUUACUGUAGCUUUGCACUGGACUUUGAGCCUGCUUGUGUAGGAUAGGUGGGAGGCUUUGAAGCGUGGACGCCAGUUCGCGUGGAGCCAUCCUUGAAAUACCACCCUGGCAUGCUUGAGGUUCUAACUCUGGUCCGUAAUCCGGAUCGAGGACAGUGUAUGGUGGGCAGUUUGACUGGGGCGGUCUCCUCCUAAAGAGUAACGGAGGAGUACGAAGGUGCGCUCAGACCGGUCGGAAAUCGGUCGCAGAGUAUAAAGGCAAAAGCGCGCUUGACUGCGAGACAGACACGUCGAGCAGGUACGAAAGUAGGUCUUAGUGAUCCGGUGGUUCUGUAUGGAAGGGCCAUCGCUCAACGGAUAAAAGGUACUCUGGGGAUAACAGGCUGAUACCGCCCAAGAGUUCAUAUCGACGGCGGUGUUUGGCACCUCGAUGUCGGCUCAUCACAUCCUGGGGCUGAAGCCGGUCCCAAGGGUAUGGCUGUUCGCCAUUUAAAGUGGUACGCGAGCUGGGUUUAGAACGUCGUGAGACAGUUCGGUCCCUAUCUGCCGUGGACGUUUGAGAUUUGAGAGGGGCUGCUCCUAGUACGAGAGGACCGGAGUGGACGAACCUCUGGUGUUCCGGUUGUCACGCCAGUGGCAUUGCCGGGUAGCUAUGUUCGGAAAAGAUAACCGCUGAAAGCAUCUAAGCGGGAAACUUGCCUCAAGAUGAGAUCUCACUGGGAACUUGAUUCCCCUGAAGGGCCGUCGAAGACUACGACGUUGAUAGGCUGGGUGUGUAAGCGUUGUGAGGCGUUGAGCUAACCAGUACUAAUUGCCCGUGAGGCUUGACC
Molecule: ribosomal RNA, 1432 nt
Filed under: metagenome
Description: bacterial LSU rRNA
Rfam family: Bacterial large subunit ribosomal RNA
Source: RNAcentral